RNAcentral lists this transfer RNA (73 nucleotides) under Sus scrofa (pig). It matches the Rfam family "tRNA". Rfam says of the family: Transfer RNA (tRNA) molecules are approximately 80 nucleotides in length. Their secondary structure includes four short double-helical elements and three loops (D, anti-codon, and T loops). The record is from Rfam by way of RNAcentral. Lineage: Eukaryota; Metazoa; Chordata; Mammalia; Artiodactyla; Suidae.
UCCCUGGUGGUGUAGUGGUUAAUGAAUCAGCAUUGUCACUGCUGUGGCUCAGGUUAAAUUCCUGGCCCUGGAA